This 7851-nucleotide long non-coding RNA is filed under the name Bemisia tabaci. Its description in RNAcentral is "lncRNA ENSSSA3NGG011411". The record is from RNAcentral. Lineage: Eukaryota; Metazoa; Arthropoda; Insecta; Hemiptera; Aleyrodidae.
GCCCGGCGCUCUUGGAACGGUGCCAUUGUACGAGAACGCAUCGAAGAAAAAGGCCACGAAGCACUUCUACGAGAACUACCGGCUCUCCUCAUCCCUGAGCAGCUCGGACGAGGACGAGACAGCAACGGGCUCUAGCGGAGAGAACGAGGAACUCGAGCACAUCUACGACUACGUAGAAAACGUCCACGAGGGAGGAAGUCCACUGGGCAAAUCUUACCCGGUCAACGUCUUCUUGAGCCUCAUUGAGGGGGCCGACAACACCAUCAGCCCGGAUCCGAACAUUUACGAGGUGCCCCCCGGCGCCAUCUUGAAUUUAGCCGGGUCGCCCCCCGACAAUCACUCCAUGCACAACAUAACGCCCCCCAACGGGUUCAAGGACACCCUCACCUGGGGCCGCCGCCACGAGCUUAGCUCUCUCCCGGUCGACGCUCUGUACUCGUCCGUCGUCAAGCCCAAGAGGAAGAAAGUGAAGAAAAGGCCCGGACUCGACGUGCUCAAGAAUCUCACUGCGGAGGAGGACGUCGAUGCACACACAGUGACAUCUACUGGUGAGGAAGUCAAAGAAAAGCCAGGGACUACCAAGGAGGUACAAGAGGUUGAGGCCCUGGAGGUGAACUCAAAGAACGAGUCCUUGAAAUUGGACGCUAAGAAGGAAGAAGAUGCGAAGGUGACUCUGAAGUAGCACUAGAGAAGCUGACUGAAGUUGCUCUUCUUGCAAAAAGCUCAGUGACUAGCAACAACGAGAAGGUACAAAAAGAAGAAGGAACGAGGGUAGCUGAAGUGAGAACCGAGUCUGAAGUGGAAAAGGCUACGAAAGAAUUGAGAAAUGCUGUGGGAAAAUCGGAAGGUCCAGGAGGCAGAACGAGGCUGUUGAACCCGCUGCUGAGGUUGAAAAAGUAAUCUCUGAGGUGACUGUUGCCGAGAAUAAGGCUGCAAAACCAGGGUGUCGGAUGGAGAAAAAGACGAAAGAGAGACCGGCGAGAAAGCCCAAGCCUGCGAUCAAACCAGAAAGCACCGAUAAAGAGGCACCGGUAUUGCCAGAAGCUCUGGACAAAGCUGAAUUUGGCAAGGCUGUAGAUUCAAAACAGUCUUUCAAAGAAGAAAAUGCAGAAUUAAGCAGUGAAACACGAAGUGGCAAAAAUGUUGCAUCGGUUACUGAUGAGAGUAAAAUAAAGGAAAUUGAACCGUGCAAAGAGGCAGUGAUCAAAUCAAAGGAAGUCACAGCCAAAAAUUACGAAAGUUCAGAAAAGCGGAGUAAGUCACCGCAGAACAAAAUUAAAUCAGAUACUAACGAAAGGGCCAAAAAAUCAGAUGGAUCCCAGGGCACUCUAAGACGUAAGAAAGGAAAAGCCAAACAUGCACCGAACGUCAAGUCUCCUGAAGAGACAGCGUCUCCACCUGCGGGAGACUCGUGUCCCCCGGAGAGUAACUUAAAACCAACUUCCGUUAACAAGAAAAAACAGAAUAAAAACUCCCGACCAGAUCCUAAAGAAAAAAUGAAAGGUUCAAAAGCUCCCGCUAAGAGUGACAGGCCGAAAGCUGAAGAUUGUGACGUAGCGAGUCGACCUCCAAUAAUCCCGAUUCUGAAGAAGGUUGUCUACGAAAAACCAACUCCAAGCCAAGAGAGAUACCUCAAACGGCAGAUAAGUCACUCCCCGUUGGAAACCAUCGACCAAAGCGAUGAGAAAAAUAAAGCGAACAAACUAAUAACGCCUCCAGAAGCAUCUGCAAACAAGACUGAAAAAAAUAAUCAGGUCGGCGAAAUCCCUAAAAAUUCAACGUAUGAGCCAAAGGAAAAGUUAAGCACCGAGAUUAAAUUUUGCGGAAAAGACGAGACAUCAAAAGCGUUAGAUCUUGAUGACACAUCGCAUUUGUUUAUUGAGAAGGAGACAGAGCAGACGAAACUCACAAGUUUCUCUGAGAAUACUCAGCAAAAUACGCCCAUCGCCAUUGAAAUUUCUGACGACGGCACCUGGGGAUCAGCCGAUCCGAACUCUACCUCUGAAAAAGCUGAGACAGAAAGCUCUGAAAAGUCCGAGGAACUCAAAAGUUCAGACUUCCUAAACGCAAAUCUGUCUGCCGAGGACAUAAAAAUGCAGCAUGUAUUGUCCGAGUAUGGGAAUUCCUAUUUCAUUCAAACCGCCAACAAACCUGUUGAGAAGAAAAGUUCUAAACCAGCUGGCGCCAAUAAUCAUGUUGGGAAUAAAGGCAAAGUUCAAAGCUCUGCGCCGGCUCAGAAAUGCAGCCUUAGAGACGAGCUCAAACGCUUUGUAAGAGAGUCUGAGAUGGCUGCUCAGAGAGCUUUGGAAGCUGAGAAGGACCUUCCGAAAGAGCAGCUACCGGAAAAGAUUGUUGGGUCCGAAUUGACUCCGCAAGAAAUUCAUAAACUUGAGUCAGGUACGGAGGCAGAAGAUGCUGAAAUGUUGGCAAAGGGAAGGAAGGGCGUUCUUGAAAAGACGAUGGUCCGCGCUAAGAAGAGGGACAGCUGGAUUAAAGGUGAAGAUGUCACUUUAAGCACUGAUAAAGAGCGAAGAAUCGAUGAUUGGCUUUCAACUGGGGCGCAGCAGUUAAGCCUGCCCGCGAAGCUACCAGAGGAAAUCUACGACCUUGCCAUGGAUCCUAAUAUCUCUCUCUUGAUCACAAAAGAAGGCGAGAUCGUCUACGACUCGAUCAUCCAAAAUAAGCACAAGACGAAGACCUACUGGGAGCAGCUGAUGAUGGCCGCGGAGAUGGGGACGCAACCCCCGGCGCCGCCGCUGCUCAAGCAAUUCAACGGCGACUGCCAAGACGACAAGGCCCACAGCGAGAUCUCCGAGGACUUCUACGACGCCGAGUCGCACAACUCUCUUAACUCCCCGGAGCUCCACUCACUCGAGGCUGGCCUCGUCGGCCCCAAAAUCGUCGAGAAGGUGGCGAAGAAGCUGUUGGAAGCUGUGGAAUCACGCCCGACGAAGCGCGCCACGGAGGAGAGCGUGAUUGAGCGUGAGAUCAAGCUGCAGCGUGAGCGUGAGCUGGCGCUAGUGCGUGAGCGGGAGGCGGCGGCGGCCAAAGCGCAGGCGCGCGCCCCGGAGAUGAAGACCCUCGGAGGGAGCCUGAGCCCCGAGGUGACGACCGUGCUCAAGGAGGCCGACGACGAGUGGCGCCGCAGGAGCUGCAAGGACGAGGACCUCUUCAACAGCAUCCCCACCACCGACGAAGGCAACUGCUCCGAGUAUGGCAGCGAAGGCAAAGAUGACUUCAGCCCGGAAACAAACAACAGCCGUGUGAUGAGCCCCGAAGUGGAGAUGGGCGGUCAGAUCCACCAGCGGACCCAGUCAAUGGACUCGAUGAGCUCCGGGCACAGCUCCGGCUCCAGCUCCGGGCUCAGCUCGCACCUGGACUGCUCCUACGUGAGCGUCAACGCCAGACGAAGAGGCAUCACCGUCAAACCCCUCGACGAGCCAGAGGAAGAGAACUCCACCUUUUUCAGGAAUGAAAGAGAAACUCCUAUUGAGCGAGAAAUUCGAUUGGCCAGAGAAAGGGAAGAGGAAUUGCGAAGAGAGAAAAUAACAAUAUGAACAAUAUUAUAAAAUCCAAUGAGAAUCCGCCGACUCAUCAGCAGAAUAAAACCAUGAACUCUACAAACUUUAGUAGCCGAAAUAGUAUAAACAUAGAGCAAGAAUUACUCAUCAUUAAAGCAGAAGAAAUAUUGAUGUUCAAUCCAAGGUAAUUCGUCAUGAAUAUUCUUUAUUAUAACUGCUUAUUCUUUAUUAUUACUAAUAUUUAUUUAUUCUGCAUUUAAACUAAUGGCACAUAUGUAAUUUCUAAACUAACAAUGAGCUAGAUUGGAGUUGCUACUUGCAAAAUUUAGUCCAAUUAAAUAACUGUGCGUGUCCCUGGUUGGCUUGUAGCCUAUGCAGCAAAAUUGAAGGCGAGUUUUAAACGUGCGAUAUCAACAUUCACCACAGAAGGAUUUGCAACCUAUUCUACUCGAGACGCAUUGAUCUAAAGAAAUCUCGCAGAAAAAUGGAAAUGGACCGAUUAUUUUCCAAAGCACGUAAGCGCCAAUCUCUAUUUUGGCGGUACAGGGUUUGUUUUUUCUUUGUUUCCUCUGGUAUAAUAAAUCAUGUCUGAUUUCAAAAUAGCCUUUUAUUGAACAUACAUUUUUUUGGAAUUCGAAGAUUUUCAACAAAGCGAAUAAAACGGAGUUUCUUGUUUUUCUCGCAUGCGCAAUUUUGGCACUUACGUGAUUUGGAAGGUAAUCGGCUCACAUGAGGUCGCUUUUAAUGACUUUCCGGUGACAUAUGCGACUACACGUUCUUGUAUAGAGAAAAAAAAGGAGCUGUUUGCAUUUUGAGGUUUGUUUACCCUGUGACGUAGGUCCGUACAACCUGGCCAGCGUAAUCCGGAAUUCGAAGUAUGAAAAACGGACCAUAAUGUCCAAUUUUUUUGCAUUGAUCAACUCAUGAUAUAAUUUCAAACACUUUUUGUAGAAUCCCAAGUAGCAUUGUCAUCUACUUUCUAGGUGGCGCUCAUCAAGAAAAUGUCUACUUUCUAGAUAGAACAAUUUUCUUGAAAGGAAAUAGGUACAAAGUAGAUUUAGAAAAUAGACGCAAGAAAAUAGUAAGAAAAUACAUUUUUUCCUUGCAUUUUCUUAAAAGAAAACAUUCAGAAAUUGGCUAGAAAAUAAUUCUACUCUCAAUAAAUUUUCUAUCUUUUUUCCAAAUGGAAAGUUGGCAGAAAGUAGACCUAUGAAAUAGAUCUAUUUUCUUUGGUCAGACUUUUGACUCGCAAUGUUUUUUCUGUCUAUUUUCUAGAUACUCUAGAACUCUCAUUUUCUUGGUAUUUUCUAGAAGUUUUCUUAAUAUUUUUUUCUAGAAAAAAUCCUAUUUUGCUACUUGGGAUGACUUUUUUCCAUAAAUUACACCAUUUCUAAGAAAAUCGAUGAUAAACUCGUUGUAGGUACCGACCUACGUCGUCCAAGAUGCCCGAAAUGCAAACACCUCCUUUUUUUCUCUAUGAUGUUCUUGUGAAAUCACUCAUGUGUGCUCCUAUUCUUGUCGCAGGUUAACCAACUAAACAGCUUGAGCCAAAGAAGUAAGUCAAACGACAAGAAGCCGGCGCCACUGCAGCUGAAGAAGCACCUAUCUAAGAGCGUCGUGAACCUGAGCUGUGCAAAAGAACUCGAGAGCGAGCUGACCGUGCCAUCACCGACGAGCCCUGCCGCCCCCAACUCCCACUUCAAGAAGUUCGUCGGCGCCCCCGCCACGCAGAAGCGCGGGCUCAUGAAAAGGUUCCUGGAAUCGCGAGGCAAACUCGGCUCCACUUUCACCCUCAACGCUCCCGCUCUGAAUAGUGAACCAAUCAAAAAACUCUCCACCUUCAGUAGUCCCAACUCUAAUCAAAACUGUGUUUCUGUAGUCAAUGCGCCACCUCGCAAACAUUAUGUUAAGAAAUUCAGGUAUGUUUCGCAACAGUUCCAAGAUACGCACUUUUUCAGCAUUUUUUGGUUCCUCCACCCCCCCCCCCAUUUGAAACGCUGCUUAUCAGUGUUCGAAACUCUCUUUGGAGUUUCAGGAGCCAUGUGGCGCAUCAAGCUCGAUUUUUAGGGGCCAAAUUGACUUUUUGCCUAUGUAUCACGGCGCAUUUAGUGACAGAACUAGUAGCUGUUACUUGGGGGAAAUUUACUCAAAGUACCCUUCUGCUGUUGCAUUCUGCGUGUUGCAAUCCGGGUUGCCUAUCGUCUCGCCGAUAUUUCCUAAUGCGCGGUCUAGAUUGUAUAUUAUACGUCAAUGAAUAGUACCGACGCGAUACUGACUUCUCCUAGGCCCUAAAAAAAAAAAAAAAAAAAAAAAAAAAAAAAAAAAUCUGCAAGCCAGCGUCUUCAAAAUAUUAAACGCUGUGCACGGAUAAAAUAUUUCUCAUCAACAUGGCCGGAUUCACCUACUUGCCGCCCCCUUCUCAUUCGUUUUGAAACUCGAUAAAAACCAUCAAAUGAACGUGUCAGCGGGAAAGGGGUGCAUAAGGGUGAUUUCACGAUAAGAGGAAUAGUCGUGUCGCCGGGGGUUAUGAACGACACAGGGCAAAACGAUUGAAAACCAAAUUAAUAAAUCAAUAGAAAUGAUGUCCCUGAACCUAUCCAUGCUAAAAAAUAUGAUAAAUUAUCAUUAUAUUUCAUAAUAUGAGACUUUAAAGGCCGAAAAUGUCCGGUCGGUUACGCGUCGCCAACCCCAAUUUUGAAGCAAAAGAGCAAUUUGCGGUAACAAAUCAGUACUGAUCAUGAACUCUUUGGCAAUAUUUGCUGAAAAGAGACUCUAAUGUUCCAGAAAAUUGCCAGUUUGAACUAAAAUGUUCAUUAUUGAGCGAGAAAAGUUAUUAGAAAGAGGUGUCGCCACAUUUGGCAACAAAUUUUUGCAGUUGUAUUAAGUGCAGUGUUUAUCACGCCAGAUGGAGUCAGGAGUUUCAAAACUGCCAUCAAAUUGUUCGCUGAAGUCUUCUCGACAAAACCAUCACUCAUAAGUCAGUUUUUUUUACAAUGAAAACUUUAAUUAUUAUGAAAACCAGUGAUUUUUAGGUGUGUAGCACUAAUUCCUCACUACGCAAAAACCUCAAUUUAAUAUUAUUAAACUAAAAGGAAGUCUCCAAAGUUUAGAAAACUUUUAAGGCAGCAUUAAUUCCACCUCAUAACUCAAGAAUUGCCAAGUUUCGUCUUUUGUAUCAUCUUUUAUCUCACAUUUUCAAGUGUCGGUUACGCUGUGUCGGUUACGUAACCGACACAAUUUGGCAAGGCCGCCAUGUUUGCGUGGACCUCCAGCAGUCCCGCGGGAAGCGCUGAUACCUGAUUCAAUGGCUUGUUUAUCAAUCACUUUAACUUUGCAUUGAAUCAAAAUAAAGCGUGCCAAAGCUGGAAAAAGGAAGUUUAAUACCUUUUAAAUGAGGUCAUGAAAUCCUGUUAAAAUUGGUGCACUUUUAUUUUCAAGGUAUUUCACAUUUUAACUAUUCCUGUUAUCGUGAAAUCACCCGUAAGAUGCAUUUACUCGUGUUGAACACAUUUUUUGGGAAAGCUCUGUCAAUACUACUAGCAAAAGUUCACGAAACUUUGCGCGAAAGUUAAGUUCCAUAAACCUAUCUCUGUGUGGACAAGGCCCUCCAUUCAUAAGAAAUGAACGAAAAAUUAUGAAAGAACAAACAUAAAUGUGGUUCAAUGAUUUUAUAUUCCGCCGCCGCGCCGCCGCGCAGACCGCACCGUUUUGAACGCAAUGCGUGAAGUAUUCACGCAGUCUUGUAGGCGCUAUCAGUCUCCCGCUGACCGCAAUGACCGCACUUUGUUUGAUGCAAUGCGUGAAGUAUUCGUGCAGUCUUGUAGGCGCUAAUGUGUGUUACAUGCCGAUUGCCGCGCCGCGCCGCGCCGAGGGCUUCUCCUUUACAUCUCAAGUCCUCGUUAUCAUUUCUCUCUAAGUCGCGCCGUUCUAGGCCAAAUUGCGUGUUUGGUUUCUCUCGUAACUCGACUUAUUGAGGGUGCUGUCUCUUGUACAUAUAACUAAGAGACGACAAAAUUAGAAAUUACUAUACUCUAAGGAAAUGAGAGAUUUUAUCGCCUUUUCUCGUUUGUAAUUUUGUUUUUAUAAAUCCGAUUUUGUUGUAUACCUUCACUUUAAAAAAUUGCAGAUUUUUGCCGCCAUAGGCCGCGGCCCAUGUGGCCACCCCCUUAAUCCGGCCCUGCUCAUCAAUAAGGAGUCUUUAAUAAAAGUUCAAUUUUGUUUCAGAACAAAGAAGAAAUAGUAGCAUUGGAACUAGGCCUGGUUACAAGUCGGCAGAAGAAAAAAUUCAAAAUGAAUUGAUGGAAAUGAGAAGACGAGAGGAAGAGCUGAG